GUAUCACUUCGAAGAUAGCUGUUCCACUCUCUCACGAGUGCCGCGGAAGCUUCGGAAUGGUGGCUACUUGCGUAUACACACAGGAGGGAAUCAGCAGGCCUUUAAACACAAGACAGGAGGAGACUCGAGGAUCCCACUUCAUUGAGAAAUGUUCCGUUGUGAGAGAGUCAGGCAACGUUUACGGGACUCUCAAGGCUAUAUUUUGUGGAAAUGUUCAACGAACAGCAAAAUGAAAAUCUACUGGA
Molecule: long non-coding RNA, 245 nt
Organism: Frieseomelitta varia
Lineage: Eukaryota; Metazoa; Arthropoda; Insecta; Hymenoptera; Apidae
Exons: 2
Source: RefSeq, a predicted model, not a curated record